UGACAGAGGCCAUCAGCUUACCUCAUCAGAGCCUCUCCAGAGACCGACCAUGGAGGUUGCCUCAUCAAUCCCCGCCAUGGAGGUCGCCGUAUCAGCAGUUGCAAGUGAACUUGUGAGCCGGUUCAUCUCCUUCCUGAUGAGCAAGUACCACUCCUCCAGCCAGGCACAAUCAGAGAACAAGAUGGUGGAGGGGUUGCAACAUCUCCUGAUCAGAGUUGGCACCAUCGUUGAGGAGGCAGAUGCUCGAUACAUAACCAACUUCGGGAUGAUGAUGCAGCUCAAGAUGCUCUCGGAGGCCAUGUACCGAGGUCACAGCCUCCUCGAUACCUUGAGGUAUGGGGCCCUCCAAGACGGUGCAAGCUUUGACGAGGUUAGCAACAGCAACUCAUCUAGCAGCAGUUUGUAUUUACCAAAUCCACUCAAGCGUUGUCGAACAACAGCAGAGAAAGGCAACAAGGCCAUGGGCCUGGAUUCACAUGGUGCUUUGGAAAGCUUAGAAAUUGCUGUAGCAAACAUGUCAGAGUUUGUUGUGCUUCUGGCUGGAUGUGAGCGCAUGUCCCGUAGGCCAUAUGAUGUUUAUCUUUACACCGACAACUUCAUGUUCAGUUCAGCGGACACGCUGAAAAGCAAAAGCUCUUGAGCUUCUUGUUGGAGCAAAAUGAUCCUUCAGGUGAUCACACAUUGGCCAUUCUUCCGAUUAUAGGUGGUGUCGCAGUUGGGAAGAAAACUUUGGUUGCUCAUGUGUGUGGCAAUGAAAGGGUUCGCUCACGCUUCUCCUCUAUUUUGCACUUGAAUGGAGACAACCUUUUGGGGAUACAUGACAAUGGAAGGGACAUGUUUGGGAUAAUGUUGGUAGUUAUUGAGUUUGCUUCUGAUGUAGGUGAAGAUGACUGGAAAAAAUUUCACUCAUUUCUCACAAGAAUUGGCAGAGGAAGUAAGAUCAUCAUUGUAAGUAAAAUUAAAAGAAUAGCCCGGUUUGGAACGGUGAAAGAAAUUUCACUAAGUGGGUUAUCUCAUGAUGAGUUGAGGUACCUUUUCAAAGCACUCGCAUUCGGAAGCGUAGAGCCAACAGAACAUCCGCGGCUAGUACAGAUAGCAGAUGACUUUGCCACAGUGAUCCACAAUUCGCUAGUUUCACUUGUCGCAACAAAUAUGUUCACGGAUGUGUUGAGAAGCAACCUCAAUGUUCAGUUUUGGCGUUGUAUAUUGGACAAGGCGGCAAGAAUGGUUAAGAGAAACAUUUCAAUAUAUGGGGUGAACCCAACCAUGCGUAUAGAACAAGGUCGCCAAGUGGACAUAACAGAUAUUGCUUUGCAUCCACUUAGCUUAAAAUUUUAUAGUGUUAAUGCUUCAAUCAAGACGGAAUUGCCAAGUGUGACAUUUGGGAAACUUAUAAAAGAUCCUAGUGUUAGGCCGAAAGGAGACUUCAUUCUAAUGGCAUGGGAAUCAAGGAUAUCCCCUUAUAAAUUAUUUCCUAGUUAUGUUACAAGUCAUGCUCAGGAUACAGAUCAAAGUAGUGCCUUGCCAGGGAGGAAGCGACAAGGUGUGCCAAUCUAAUCUCCCUUUGGAACUUGUGUAUAUGUAACUCUUCUUGUAAUUUUUGAUAAAUGAUAGUUCAAAUGUAUACCAUUCAACUAAAUGUUUACAGAUCUUUCCCUAAAAAAAUGUAUUACAGAUCUCAAUUAACCUCUCCUUGUUUUCUUAGAUA
Molecule: RNA transcript, 1708 nt
Organism: Triticum aestivum (bread wheat)
Lineage: Eukaryota; Viridiplantae; Streptophyta; Magnoliopsida; Poales; Poaceae
Exons: 1
Source: RefSeq, a predicted model, not a curated record